AAAAAAAAAUUUUUUUUAAAAAAGGAGUUUCUUUAUUGGUAGAGGUUUAGUCUUUUGAAAUUUGGUAUCUUUUGACUAGCAAGGGAUGUGAUUGAAUUGGUAAAUCAGUGCUAAAAAGUAAAAUGUUUUAUCGCUCCCAAACCUAACCGAACAGACCCACCACUUAGCGCACCUCUGAGGCGUCUCUAACUUUGAUGACAAACACCUGUAGGAACACGUGGGCUCUGCAGCCCUCCCCAUGGGGGACAGGGGUCGGGAUGCACCAUUCUGGGAGACUCAGGUUCAGCUGAGGGGUUACCACCUGUAAACACCGGACAAAAAGUUUUAAACAGACAGAUAGAACCUUUCUCCAGGUAUAGUUCGUGUUCCCCUGACUUCUUAGUCUGAAAGGCAGUGUGUCCGGUUUAGCAUGAUUGAUGACAGCUCAAGAAAUCUCCCCCAUGGAAAUUGUAGAGAGUGGGCAGCCCCAAACUGUUUCCGUCUGCUUUUACUGCUCUCACCUGUGAGAGCUUCUCAGCUGUGUAAGUUGGACGUGACCGACAAGGGCCAAACCUGUUUCCGCAUCUAUGUUUAUAGGAACCCCCUUAUCUGCUAAGGAACCAGAGGAUAAAGAUGGAAAGACAAGAACUGCUGGGGCCAUUUUGCUGCUAGGAUGGAAAGAGCUCAAGGAGGAAGCCAAUGCGAAGAGACGUGUGCAGCUAAGUGGAUCCCAGUCUGAGGUCUGGAGAAGGAGGUCCCGAAGAGAGGAGGAGAUUCAUUGCUUGAGGUCGCACAGGGCUCGAGGCAGAGUUGGGAAGAAAACUCUGUACCCACCAUGUCACCCAGGUCCCUUUGCUGAUUAACCACUGGCCACGGCACUGAAGCUCCCACGUUCCCUCACUUCCCUCCAGGUUAUGCACGCGUGAGAGUUUCGAGGUUAUCCCAAGGCAGAGAGGCUGUGUUGCAGGAAGUCAAAUGUAUGUGGUGCAGGUCCUAGACACGGCAUUACUGAUUUCACCCACAAGAAGCCAAAGUCUGCAUGAAACCACCUGUGUCAGCAAAGAAUCAGCAAGGCCAAACUUCUGCACAUUGAGGACCAACUGGAAAAUGUCCAACAAAGACAAGCACCUUUCACUGUUCCUCCCACCUAAACUCCAGAAUAUUCAACAAACACUCUGAAAGCAAAUGGACCAAGACUAAUGAACUCCAAAUCUGAUCGCAACAAUUCAUUUAGUAUUGCACACGGCAAAGAGUAAAAGAGUUUCUAAUUAAAUAAAGAGUCAUGAGUUUUGCUCCAUAGCACAUCUAGUGCAAAGUUCAGGAGGGCAUAAAAACAUUACAUUUUUCUUUCUUUUUUUUUUAAAUUAAAAAAAAAUUUUUUUAAAUUUAUUUUUGAGAGAGAGCAAGAAAGUGCACAAG
Long non-coding RNA from Felis catus (domestic cat), 1398 nucleotides. RefSeq lists it as uncharacterized. The transcript is spliced from 5 exons. NCBI's taxonomy places the organism in Eukaryota, Metazoa, Chordata, Mammalia, Carnivora, Felidae. The record is from RefSeq and is a predicted model, not a curated record.